Long non-coding RNA from Triticum aestivum (bread wheat), 1875 nucleotides. RefSeq lists it as uncharacterized. Lineage: Eukaryota; Viridiplantae; Streptophyta; Magnoliopsida; Poales; Poaceae. The record is from RefSeq and is a predicted model, not a curated record. The transcript has 3 exons.
CAUCAUUACUCUGCCAGAAAAACGGUUCGCUAAAAAAGAAAUACGCAUCUGCCUCCUCGCCUCGACCCUGGCCUGUGCAAAAUUCCCCAGCCACCACCGCGCCACUCGCCGCCGCGGCCGACCUCAACCCGCCUGCCGCGGCCGCACCUCUUCCCGCUCGCUGCCCCCGUCGCGGCGCUCGGGCGCAGCUUUUGGAUCUGGUCAACGCAGUAGCUCGAGCGGCCAGGGACGACGCGUCUGCUCGAUGCAGAACAACGGCGUCGGGAUCUAGCGGGCGGGGGAGAAGGAGGGAUCCGGCACGGUGACGCGAAGUCCCUCCGCCGCUGCUGUCGUCGAGGAAGCAAGGAAGCAGGCCGACGACGUGGUGGUGCAGUAUGUGGUGGUGCCGACGACGAGGCCAAGGCCAGCGCGCAGGACAAGAUGUGGCAACCUUGGGCGAUUGGUUCAUUGGAUUCUUCAAACCGAUGCCUUUUUGAACACGCAAGGUGCCCUCAUGAUUUAUUUCAAGAUGCUAUUUGAGCUAAUGCAGAAGCGUGAUGUGUUUGCCAAUCCUUGUGUCGUUGGUAUCUUCAUGCCGAUCGCAAGAAGUUAGUCUCCUAUUUUAUGGUAAUAUUAUGAUUUUUUUAUGCAAUUCCAGAUGCUAGACAAGGAACGUGUGUAGGCUGAGGAUUCUAAGGUAGCCACCUUGUUUUCCUCACAUGGGGAUAUUGAUGUAUGAUGCGGAAGCAGGAAGUGUUGUCCAUGGCCUUUUGAUUGACACAAAAGUUGUUCAAUACUGCAGUAGGGACAUGCCUGAUUCACACAAUUCCAAUCAUUGCCUUUUGAAAGUUCCGUUCCUGUAGUAUUUGAGUUUAUGUCUACACUUACAUGAAGAGCAUCAGGUAUUUGUAAACCAAUAUUUUGCUUAGAAAGGUUCCUACAAAAAAAGAAUAACCUUAAGAAAGCAGAGCCGUUUGUGUGCUUCAUAUAAGCUAUAUACAUGCCAUCUCACCAAGCACUGCUAACAUGUUCUUUUUUCAAGAGAGCAUAUAUGUUUCUUUUUUUGUCACCAUGUCUUCACGGGCGCCCGUCACCCACACGCUCCUCACUUCCUAGGUACAUAUUCUUCCUGCAUGUACCUCAGUGCAUGAUUUUCCUAAUCAGAUGAAAGGAUAAGAACUGUACAUGGCGCCAUUCACUGGAAAUGCCUUCUCUUACACCUUGUGGUUAGUUUUUCAGUUCUGCACAUCAAGCACUAUCAAAGUUUAUCCUAAUUACGCCAACGGCCUCCCUAAUGAAAGACUUAGCCAUUUGUAAUUGAUCUGGUGUAAUUUACUACUUUAUUGUUGGAUAUGAAGUUGUUUUGCUAUAAAUACCUCACAUUCAGUAUGCAAUGUGCCACUAGAACUAUACGACAUCACAGAACAUGAAGUACUCCCUGCUAGGCACAACCAUACACUCUGUUAUUCUGAAUAUUUUGAUUUGGUCACAGAGAUUUGUUAUUUUAGUGAUCUAUUUAUUCGAUUUCAUAAUUAUGGUUUCUCUUACUAAUACUGCCAUAAGAUAAGAUUGUAAACUAAAUCUGACUGUCGUGUCAUAUUUUUAUCAUCUAAUUACUAAUUAAACUGACAGUAAGACAUUUUAUACCCUUUUGUAGAUGCUGCAGACUUUGCAAGUGUUCAGAGAAAUGAUGUGCUAAUUAAGGGGUUUAGGAGCACUAAUAAAGAAUCCGUGUUGCUGAACUUUUUGUACCACUAAUGAGUAAAGUGAGUUCUUUAUAGUUUGCUUCAAUUUAGUGUAGGAAGAUAUCGGAUGCAAAAGCCCAAUUCGGUGCAGCCAUCAUUUGUUUGUCGAUGAAUUUAUUUGUUUGUUGAAAUAGAGGACGUUGAAUUGUGA